RNAcentral lists this ribosomal RNA (832 nucleotides) under uncultured bacterium. RNAcentral describes it as "bacterial SSU rRNA". It matches the Rfam family "Bacterial small subunit ribosomal RNA", at positions 8 to 796 of the family's 1533-position model. The record is from RNAcentral.
AGAGUUUGAUCAUGGCUCAGGAUGAACGCUGGCGGCGUGCCUAAUACAUGCAAGUCGAACGCUUUGUUUUUAAUUGAUAUGAAGAGCUUGCUCUGAUUUGAUUUUAUCUGACAAAGAGUGGCGAACGGGUGAGUAACACGUGGGUAACCUACCUCUUAGCAGGGGAUAACAUUUGGAAACAAGUGCUAAUACCGUAUAACACUAACAACCGCAUGGUUGUUAGUUGAAAGAUGGUUCUGCUAUCACUAAGAGAUGGACCCGCGGUGCAUUAGCUAGUUGGUAAGGUAAUGGCUUACCAAGGCGAUGAUGCGUAGCCGAGUUGAGAGACUGAUCGGCCACAAUGGGACUGAGACACGGCCCAUACUCCUACGGGAGGCAGCAGUAGGGAAUCUUCCACAAUGGGCGCAAGCCUGAUGGAGCAACGCCGCGUGUGUGAUGAAGGGUUUCGGCUCGUAAAACACUGUUAUAAGAGAAGAACGACAUUGAGAGUAACUGUUCAGUGUGUGACGGUAUCUUAUCAGAAAGGAACGGCUAAAUACGUGCCAGCAGCCGCGGUAAUACGUAUGUUCCAAGCGUUAUCCGGAUUUAUUGGGCGUAAAGCGAGCGCAGACGGUUAUUUAAGUCUGAAGUGAAAGCCCUCAGCUCAACUGAGGAAGGGCUUUGGAAACUGGAUAACUUGAGUGCAGUAGAGGAAAGUGGAACUCCAUGUGUAGCGGUGAAAUGCGUAGAUAUAUGGAAGAACACCGGUGGCGAAAGCGGCUUUCUGGACUGUAACUGACGUUGAGGCUCGAAAGUGUGGGGUAGCAAACAGGAUUAGAUACCCUGGUAGUCC